UUGGCUGAUUCAGUGUGUCUCAAAGCGUCGUCGUCGUCGGUGAUCGCGCGUUUGUUGUCGUUGGCGUUGUUGCGCUUUAACGGUUUUUGCAGGCGCUCAGUCUACGCAUUUCAGUAAAAAUACACCUCACCCCGUCUUCCAAAUCAACGCGCUAAUAAUAAAUAAAAACAAAAAUUGUCAAAUUUGAAACCAACAACUACCAAUUAUCCAGCGAGCAACACACAACAAACAUGUAUGUGCCAUCAUAGGAGGACAGUGAACAUAUGUUUUGGAGCAGUAUCAUAGCCAAUAAGUAAAGUCCGGAACUGGAAAUUUAAAUAUAUACCUACAUAUAUAUAUUUAUUUAUAUGUAUAUAUGGACUAUAGACAGAUGAUAUACACACUUAUUUUACAGUGCGGCGCAUAGAAUUAA
Long non-coding RNA from Drosophila navojoa, 412 nucleotides. The record is from RefSeq and is a predicted model, not a curated record. Lineage: Eukaryota; Metazoa; Arthropoda; Insecta; Diptera; Drosophilidae.